This is a long non-coding RNA of Nomascus leucogenys (northern white-cheeked gibbon), 634 nucleotides long. RefSeq lists it as uncharacterized. The record is from RefSeq and is a predicted model, not a curated record. Lineage: Eukaryota; Metazoa; Chordata; Mammalia; Primates; Hylobatidae. The transcript has 2 exons.
AGGGAAGGGCUCUAUACCGUUGCCAUGGAUACCAGCAGCCAGAAGGGGCGGGGCUGUUUGUUACCAGGAGCCUCCAGGGAGACCCCAGACCGGGCCCCUGGGUGAGUUCUGGGCCAGCCCAGCCUGGAGGAGGCAUGAGAGGCUGAGCCACUGCUCAGCUUAGCGGGGGGACCACUUAGUGGCCAACACCCUGAGGGAGUCCCCAGAAUCCCCUGCCUAGCCUGGCAGCCAGCGAGAUAAAUAUGGGGGCACUGCUGCCUGUGAGCCAGCCCAGCAUAGCCAUGGGUGUGUGGGGGAAGCAGACAGAGGCAGGGUCUUGCUCCGCUGUCCAGGCUGGAAUGCUUUAGUGUGAUGACAGCUCACGGUAACCUCGAAUUCCUGGGCUCAAGUGAUCCUCCCACUUCCGCCUCCUGAAUUGCUGAGACUACAGGCACCUGCCUCCACCGCCAGGCCCAGCCCACAGCUCCUUUGACUUUAGUGACAAGCACUCACCUACCUGACCCCCAAACUGAAGCCUCACCUUUCCCAGCCAUCUCCACACCCUCUGGGCCACCCCAUUACCAUGACAAGUAUUCCCUCUGCUCCAGAAGAAAAGCGAGGUCCCAGACCUGACCCACAAGACCCAAUCAUUCCA